Molecule: small nucleolar RNA, 104 nt
Organism: Symphalangus syndactylus (siamang)
Lineage: Eukaryota; Metazoa; Chordata; Mammalia; Primates; Hylobatidae
Product: small nucleolar RNA U13
Source: RefSeq, a predicted model, not a curated record
AUCCUUUUGCAAUUCAUGAGCAUGAUGAUGGGGUAUCACACUAUGUGUGAGAUGUGCCUCCCUCAAAGCUUCUUCCUACAGGUUGGCACUUUGCCCACCUGACA